Molecule: long non-coding RNA, 6403 nt
Filed under: Nicotiana tabacum (common tobacco)
Lineage: Eukaryota; Viridiplantae; Streptophyta; Magnoliopsida; Solanales; Solanaceae
Description: long non-coding RNA (NTAB_LNC002774)
Source: RNAcentral
CUGCAUAGUUGACCUCAAAAUUAACCUUCACACUGACUGGCUCUGCGGUGACUAUGCGGUCCGCAUAACUAUUAUGCGACUGCAGAGUUGACCGCAGAAUUGCACUUUUUUGGAAAACACUAUUGUUUAACUUUUUAAUGCAUAGAUCAAUCCAAAGGGUCUGUACCGUGACGAGCUUUUUAUGAAUUUCUAACACAUAAUCCUAACUUGGCACCACAAGACUCGGGUUUUUGAGUAGAAAUUUUACCAGGCCUUACAAAAUAAUAGUAACCAACUCUCCUAGAGCUCACAUCUACCAGAAACCUGUCGGUUUCUCAUAAUCCUCGUGUACACCAUCAAGAGUGAAAUAUAAGAGGGUGACCCUAGGGGAUGGAUCUAUAUCCACGUGCCACAUGGACAACUUACAUGCUGCACGGACAACUUACGUAUGCGCGGACAACUCACAUACUAUAAUAUCAAUAUCUGAAUCCAUACGGACAACUCACUUGCUGCACGAAUAACUCAUUUGCUAAUAAUAUCAAUCCAUACUGACAACUCACGUGUUGCAUGGACAACUCACGUACUAAUAUUACAAUCUGCCUGGCAUGGUCACAACAAGCACAAUAUCAUAAUCCUCCCAGCAUGGUCACAUGCAUAACAAUACAAUUUGCCCGACGUGGUCACAUGCAUAUCAACAUAAUCCGCCUGGCGUGGUCACAGACUCACAUGCAUAUCAACAUAAUCCGCCCGCCGUGGUCACAGGCCUCCUGUCCAAAACAUACCACACAGAAGCAAGUAUAUAAGAAUACAUGUAUAUGAUCUACAAAUAUCAGAUUUCAUAUAAUUACAUGCUAAAGUGUAGGCAUGUGCAAUGUACUCUACUGUAGCUCAAAUUGACAAUUUUAUCACAUAAGUAGCUAUUAUAUUAUUCAAGGAAUUAGCCUCUUCGUAACCUCAAACAUGGAUCAAAUAAUUCACAUCAAUGUUACAAAUAUGACAAACAUUAUAGCUUUAAGCUUAACAGUCAAUUCUAGAUAUAUCAUAGCCUAAGCACUGCAUCGAGCAUGGAUAAAUAUCCCAAUGCUCGCACAUGGGCUCAAACCCCACACAUAUGUGCACCCAUAGCAUGUAGACAUCACAAAUAAUUCAGGCAACUAGUACCUCAACCGAGUUUAGAUAAGAUACUUACCUCACACAAGCUAAAAUAAAUAUUGAGCAAGUCGAACGACCAUCUAGAAAUGCCAUUCCGCAUGUAUCAACCUCUAAACGGCUCGAAACUAGCCAAAAAUAACUCAAAAUAUCAAAUAAUGCCAUAGGAGACAAACCCAAUUGAUAAAGGUCGAAUCUUUAAUCAAUUACUCAAAUUCAACCAAAAAAUCAAACCCGAGCCUGGACCUCAGAACCCAACAAAAUUCAAAAAAUCUAACAACUCAUUUAGUUACGAGUUCAACCAUACUAAUUUCACUCAAAUCAGACUCCGAAUCAAUGUUCAAAACUCAAAAAUUCACUUUAGGAAAGUUUAGAAAAAUAAACCAAAAUUUCUAUUUAAAAUUCAUAAUCUAUAACGAGCCGACCAGUCAUUUUGAGUAAUUGCACUUCGCUUGAUUGUUUGAGGGCAUGCGUAGCUCCGUAUGAAGUAUUACAACUUAUGUGAAUAGUCGGUUUUUGUUUUCAGGUUUUUUAGAAUUGAGUUAGAAGAAUGAUUCUCAGCUAAAAGCUUUAAAUUUGAAAGGUUUGACCAAGUUUUGACUUUUUAGUAUUUGACCCUGGAUUGGAUUUUGGAUGGUUCUGUUAGCUCCGUUAGGUGAUUUUGGACUUAGGAGCGCGUCCGGAAUGUGAUUUGGAGGUCCGUGGUAGAAUUAGGUUUGAAUUGGCAAAAGUUUAAAAUUUGGCAAUUUUGAUCGGCAGUGGAAAAUUUGAUAUCAGGGUCGGAAUGGAAUUCUGAAAGUUGGAGUAGGUUCGUAGUGUCAUUUGUGACGUGUGUGUAAAAUUUGAGGUUAUUCGGAUGUGAUUUGGUAGGUUUCGGCGUCGUUUGGGGAAUUUAGAAGUUUAGACGUUCUUGGGCUUGAAUCUGAGGGUAAUUUGGUGUUUUGAUGUUGUUUUGAGUGAUUUGAAGGUUCAACUAAGUUUGUAUGAUGUUAUGGGAUGUGUUGGUAUGUUUGGUUGAUGUCCUGAGGGCCUCAAGUCUGUUUUGGGUGGUUAAUGGAUCAAUUAUUAGUGUUGGGAAAUAGCUGGUUUACUGGUUUCUGAAGAUGCUGGUGUUUUCCGCAUCUGCGGAAGGGAAGUCACAGGUGUGAAACCGCAGACACGCAUGGAAAGUUCGCAAGUGCGGAUGGAAUUAAGAUAGGCUGGGUCCGCAGGUGCGUAGGAGAGGUCGCACCUGCAAGUCCCUAGAUGCAGAAAGGUGCCCGCAGAAGCGGAAUUGAGGAGGUCAGGUAGUGGCCGCAGGUGCGAGGUCUUUUCCGCACUUGCAUAGUCGCAGACACGGAUAAGGAGCGCAGGUGCGAAUUUGGGGGAUUUAAUUAUUUUCCGCCGGUGUGAAGGUUUUUGCGUAGAUGCGGCACCACAUGUGCGGAUAUUUAGCCGCAGGUGCGAAUGGCCUGGGCAGAAAGUAUAAAUAGCACACUUCGGGAAUUUUGGUUCAUUUCCACUAUUUUCAAGUCGAUUUUUGGAGCUUUUGGAGAGAUUUUGAAGGGAUAUUCAAGGGGUUAUCAAUGAGGUAAGUUGCUGGAGCUCUAAUACUCAUAUCUAUGGUAUUUUCCCAUUGUUUUAUCAAUUAAUUAGUGGAAUUAUGGGUGAAAAUGAGCGGUUAGAGCUUGUGAUUUUGGAGAGAUUGAUUUGAGAAUUUAAGGGAACAAAUGGAGUCAUAUUUUGGUAAAUUUCGUAUGUAUGGACUCGUGAGUGAAUGGGCUUUCAAGUUUUGUAUUUUUUGUCGGAUUUUGAGGCAUGGGCCCCGGGGGCCAGGUUUGAGCCGAUUUCGCGUUUGGGGUCUAAUUUGGUAGUUUUCUUGUGGAAUUCAUUACUUUAGCAUAUAUUGAUGGUAUUGUUCUGGUUGUGAAUAGAUUUAGAUCGUUUGGGGGCCGAUUCGAGGGGCAAGAGCAUCGCGGAGUAGAGAUUUGAUCGAUUUGAGGUAAGUAACAAUUGUAAAUCUAGUCCUGAGGGUAUGCAACCCCGGAUGUUGUAUCAUGUGACUAUUUUGAGGGUGAUGCACAUGCUAGAUGACGAGCAUGUGAGCGUCCACCAUUGGGAAUUGUGACUUGAUCUGUCCCGUAUCAACUAUAAAGUUGAAUAUUUGGUUGAAUCUAUAUGCUUCUUACUUGUUUUAGAAAGAAUUUCUGUAAAUCAGGCUGGAUGCCAUGCUUAAGCCUUAUGCUAGUGUUGUUUGGACCCUUAUAGGUCUUUUCUUGCUAUCCUCUCAUUGUUUUCUAUUGGAAAUAUAUACUCAGUCAUGUUUAUACUUAUUUAUUACAUAACUCAGUCUCUAUUAUUCUGUUUUAAUGCAUCAUAUAAAUGUUGUUUGGGCUGAAUACCUUGUGUUCUGAGUGCCCGAGAGACUGGAGAGGUUAUGACUGAGUUAGGCCGAGGGCCUGAUUUGUGAGGAUAUUUAUGGGAUCGGGCUGCACGUCGCAACUUGUUUUACUGAUUCAUGACUAAUUGAGGUCGAGGGCUUGAUUAAUUUAUGCCAUGAUUGUCUUGUUAUAGCGCUUGGGUUGAAAGAGCCCCUCCGGAGUCUGCACAUCCCCAGUAAGUGCAGGUACCUACUGAGUGCGAGUGCCGAGUGCGAGUGACUAGGAGGCAUGAGUAAGGGUGAGGUUUGCCCGAGGGGCUGUACAUGAGUGAUGGUAAGGUUUGCCCAUGGGGCUGCAUAUGAGUGAUGGUGAGGUUUGCCCGAGGGGUUGUAUAUGAGUGAUGUUUGCCCGAGGGGCUAUUUAUGAUUUCAUCAUUUCUGCUAACUUUUGCAUUGAACCUUUGUUCGAAAACUGUUGAAAGAUGUUUUUAAAUGAUUUUACUGGAACUGGUUUUAAACAAGCUGAUUUGAUUCAAACUAUGGUUUUAAAAACGUGUCGUACUUUACUAAGUUUCUGUAAUAUUAACUUUACUUGCAUUAUUGCUCGUCACUACUUCUCAGCCUUUAUUUACUAUUAUUACUUACUGAGUUGGCGUACUCACGUUACUCCUUCCACCUUGUGUGCAGAUCCGGGCAGUUCUAGAUGCGGUAGCGAGUGUUGAUUGUUUCAGUUGCAGAUCCAUCGGAGUUAGCAAGGUAGCUGUCUGACAAUCACAACCCUGCUUUCCUCCCUCUUUAUCUUCCCUUAGUUGUAUUCAGUUAUUUCCAGACUAUGUUAGUCUUGAUAUUGAUAGACUGUUGUAGUAAAUGCUCAUGACUAAUGACACCCCGUGUCACACCUCCUUUUUACCACCCGAAAGGGGAUAUAAGGGAGUUUUUUCCAAUUAAAGUGAAAUAAAUUGAAAUGGGAUUAUUUUAUUUAUUUAGAGUCUCCACUUGGAAUAAUUUAUGGUGUCCCAAGUCACCGGUUUAUUUUUUUUAAAUUCCAAAUCGAGGAUAUCGACUUUUUUUAAAAGUCUGCGAAAUCAAAAAUUCUAGAUAAGGAAUUCUGUUAACCCGGAAGAAGGUUUUAGGCAUUCCCGGAUUCCGUGGUUUGACCAUGAUCGCUUAAACUAUUAAUAAUUGGCCUCAUUAUCUGAUUUACUACAUGUUUUAAAUCUAGUGCAUUUUUAACUUUAUCACCGUUUUUAAUUAAUUGACCACUUUUUUUAGGAUUUAUGGAAUUAUUUCUUGAACAAGUUAUGAUUGUCGUACACUUUCUGUUUUGGAACACAUCGCAAACCACGCCACAUGAAAUGCACCCGCAAUUUGCGACAUGUUUAUUUUUAUUAAUGUUCGAAGUUGUUAUGAUCGGGUCACAUGAAAUGCACACCCGAAUUUGGGAAUUAGGUAUCACGACUAUGUCACAGGAACCAUACCCAUAGUCACGAUAAUUUAUUAUAAAACGCGCCUAAAGCAAACUACGAAUAUUCAAAGUAUUUUCUACACUAGUUAUGAAUGUUCAAAGUAUUUUUCACACUAGUUUUGGUAUUAAUGUGAGGGCCAUAGAUUAUGGGAUUCAUUUGUGUAUGGCACGCCUCAAUUUAUUUCAAAAGAUUUUACUCAACUAAAGCAAAUUACAGAUGUUCAUGUUAUUUCCUAAACUAUUUUUGAGACUAUUGUAAAGGCCGAGAGUUAUGGAUGUAAAGUUAUUGAAGUAAUUUCUACAGAAUAAGUAUGAAACCAAGGUUAGCUUAUUUUAUAGUUCUCAAGUCCAAAUCCAUGUAACUAUUGUUGCUUAAAAAAAAUUCUAAAGCACAAAAUAUCAUCAAUUUCCCAUUAGGCAAUUAUUAUUUUCUUCAAUGUUUCUUAAUUCCAACUUUCAAUAUAUAACUAAAAUCAAAUUGGGACCGUAUAUUUAUGGAAGAAGAAAAAGGAAAUAUACGUGGAAACAAAAAAAAAGAUGAGCUUAACAAGAAGAAAGUCCGAAAUGCAUGAAAGAUGACCAAGGUAUUAAAUGUCGUAAGAUGCCAUGGAAAUGCAACGAAUACCAGAACAUAACUCAAAUAGCAAAGAGAGAUGCCAUUAACUGAACAUGGAAAAUUGUCUACUUCAAUCUUUAUAAACAAAGCACACAAAUUUAAAGCAAAACUCUUUUCGUCUUCGCCUCUACUCUAACCCUUUGAAAUUUGUCGCUAACUGCUUUGCCGGCCAAAUAUUUCUUGAGAUCAACUACAUACAACUACAUAUACAACUUACAUUUAUUGUAGAAAACUAUGAGUGGAAUGAUAAAAUCAAAAACAAAACUUUUCACAAGACAAACCAAGUAUAACAUCUGACAAUACAAAUAAAACAAAGAGACCUCAUAAUUGUACUUUAAGAAAUUAUUGAUUUUUCAUUAAUAAUUAGAUUGAAGAGUACAUACAAGUUGUUGAGCUCGCUGCAAGGUAAAAGAACCGAUGGAAGCAAUGACAAAUUGAGGUCGAACAGGUCUUGCAAAAACCUUGUCAACAGCCUCAUUUACAACAUCCUCUUAACAGCAGUAGCAUAAUUUAAAACCCCAGAACCAGAUUUUUCUCUUUAAUCCCAAACUUUUAACUAUUUUGAGUAUGAGAGAGUGAGUGCUUAAGGAAGGAGAAAUCUUUCAGCUGGGUUUUUGUUCUAGGGGUCAAGGAUCCGAUUGUGGAAGAUGAGAGAAGAAUGAAGGUCCCAAUUUUUGUUCUAGCGGCGGGGGGUGGCUGCUCUUCGUUCCGCCAUAGAUGAGGGAGCCAAAUAGAGAAACGACGCUUUUCUUCCAAAAAAUAGGAGGGUCUCCUCUUCUGAUAUUGUCUAGGUCUAAUGUCUCAUGUUGGUCCUUUUAAUGUCAUUAGGUUUUAG